AGGAGCCGGAUGCGAGAAAGACGCACGUCCGGUUCUGUAGAGGGAUAAGGGGAGAAAUCCCCUUAUCUACUCGAC
This 75-nucleotide non-coding RNA is filed under the name Butyrivibrio sp. YAB3001. The record is from RNAcentral. Lineage: Bacteria; Bacillati; Bacillota; Clostridia; Lachnospirales; Lachnospiraceae.